This 586-nucleotide ribosomal RNA is filed under the name Chaetomium globosum. RNAcentral's name for it is "LSU rRNA". It matches the Rfam family "Eukaryotic large subunit ribosomal RNA", at positions 75 to 687 of the family's 3401-position model. Lineage: Eukaryota; Fungi; Ascomycota; Sordariomycetes; Sordariales; Chaetomiaceae. The record is from RNAcentral.
UUGCCCUAGUAACGGCGAGUGAAGCGGCAACAGCUCAAAUUUGAAAUCUGGCUUCGGCCCGAGUUGUAAUUUGCAGAGGAAGCUUUAGGCGCGGCACCUUCUGAGUCCCCUGGAACGGGGCGCCAUAGAGGGUGAGAGCCCCGUAUAGUUGGAUGCCUAGCCUGUGUAAAGCUCCUUCGACGAGUCGAGUAGUUUGGGAAUGCUGCUCAAAAUGGGAGGUAAAUUUCUUCUAAAGCUAAAUACCGGCCAGAGACCGAUAGCGCACAAGUAGAGUGAUCGAAAGAUGAAAAGCACUUUGAAAAGAGGGUUAAAUAGCACGUGAAAUUGUUGAAAGGGAAGCGCUUGUGACCAGACUUGCGCCGGGCGGAUCAUCCGGUGUUCUCACCGGUGCACUCCGCCCGGCUCAGGCCAGCAUCGGUUCUCGCGGGGGGAUAAAGGUCCUGGGAACGUAGCUCCUCCGGGAGUGUUAUAGCCCGGGGCGUAAUGCCCUCGCGGGGACCGAGGUUCGCGCAUCUGCAAGGAUGCUGGCGUAAUGGUCAUCAGCGACCCGUCUUGAAACACGGACCAAGGAGUCAAGGUUUUGCGC